This is a long non-coding RNA of Triticum dicoccoides, 264 nucleotides long. RefSeq lists it as uncharacterized. NCBI's taxonomy places the organism in Eukaryota, Viridiplantae, Streptophyta, Magnoliopsida, Poales, Poaceae. The record is from RefSeq and is a predicted model, not a curated record. The transcript has 3 exons.
UCCAGCUGUACAGGUGUAACUCUGGAUUGGAGGUUUUGAUAGCUAUUUGCUUUGGAAACUUCUUGCCAGAGUUCAUUGGAAUGUUGAUAGAGCUGAACUUUAAUAUUUCACAUCUGGUUAGGUAUUGCCUUCAUCUUGAUGUCAACUUCAAUUGAAAAACUUCCGAAGCUUGCAGGAAAAAUGCAUUGCAGAUCACAAAAAAGAGGUCAUGUUGAUGGUUUUAAGCACAGAAAAUAUGCCAAACUAUACAAAAAAUAUAUACUU